CAAAUUCUCAACAUAAGACAAUAUGAGCUAUAUCAAUUUUUAACUUUAUCUGAUUUAAAAAUAUUUAUGAUCUAUUCUUGCCAAAGUAGUUUACUAUACUGUAAACAAAAUCAAUCACUUGAUAACGCUAAAAGGUGCAAACAUCAUCAGGUGACCAUCACUAUCACUCAGCUGUAAACAACUUUACCAUUUGCCCUCGGCAUGAUAACCCUUGAUGGAAUAUAGUUUUGGACCCCUUUGAUGAGCCCCCAUUGGAUUUCUACUUCAUGAUUUUCAGUGCAUUCGCAAUGCCAAUGGCCUCAGCUUAUCAAGAAAACUAAAUUCAUAAAUAGCAAGCUUUAUAAAAAUAGCUGAUUAGAAUAGAUCAGGUGUCCUAAGAAUAUUACAUUACAAUGAUGGUGAGUUAAGGAAAUUUCUGUCGACUCAACCUUGUAGGUGGAAAAUUCCGUUGUAGGAAGUGUUUUGGAAAAAUACGAAAACAAUUUGAGCUCCCUAGAUUCCAGAAAGAGCAAAUUGUCAAAUUGGUUGUCGACGUCAAUCCUCGUUGUUGUUGCUAUGGCCGGGCCACCGUUGUUGAUAAGUUGAUAUGGUUACACUGGAUGCGACUGGGCCCCCCUCGAUGAGUUAUUGCUCUGCGGCUCUGUGUCGGGGCCCGAAAUCCAAAAUCAGUGCCCAGAGGCCAGGCCCAUUAUUCCCAUGGCAGCAUCUAAAACCCGCCGGUGGGCGAUGCGAUAAGGCUGACUCAGGCGCAGAGGGCUUCUCAAUCGGGGCCUGAGCAUGCCGCCGACGUCUGGCCCGCCACUCGUUCUAUAUCUACUUGAGCGGCCAACCUUGAACUUGCUGCCGAAUGCGGGAGACCGCCCAUUGCUCUUCAAGUGCCCCAAUGAGGCAAGCACUUUGCAGCUUUUUUGCCAUGUGUGGGGCGUGUGCCGCUGCUAAUCAGCAUAAACCGAAAUAGGAUCUGCCAACGAGCAAGUGUCGACGGCCGGACGGUGGGUCCAAAACAAAACGUCAUCAGGCCCCGGUUCCGAAUUUGCCGCCCAAGCGAUAGAGUGACAGACCUUAUCAACAAUCUUGACGAAACCCUACUGAUUUUCACAAUUUCCUAUGGAUCUGUAUCGUUUGCGGCGUAACACGUACCAUUUUUUUAUAUUUUUUAUAUAUUUUCUUCUUAAAUAUAUAUAAAUGGUAUGCUUGAAA
Long non-coding RNA from Drosophila biarmipes, 1200 nucleotides. RefSeq lists it as uncharacterized. NCBI's taxonomy places the organism in Eukaryota, Metazoa, Arthropoda, Insecta, Diptera, Drosophilidae. The transcript is spliced from 2 exons. The record is from RefSeq and is a predicted model, not a curated record.